AACGAACGCUGGCGGCAGGCUUAACACAUGCAAGUCGAGCGCCCAGCAAUGGGAGCGGCGCACGGGUGAGUAACACGUGGGAACGUGCCCUUUGGUUCGGAAUAACGUAGGGAAACUUGCGCUAAUACCGGAUAAGCCCUUACGGGGAAAGAUUUAUCGCCAUUGGAGCGGCCCGCGUUGGAUUAGCUAGUUGGUGGGUAAAAGCCUACCAAGGCAACGAUCCAUAGCUGGUCUGAGAGGACGACCAGCCACACUGGGACUGAGACACGGCCCAGACUCCUACGGGAGGCAGCAGUGGGGAAUCUUGGACAAUGGGGGAAACCCUGAUCCAGCCAUGCCGCGUGAGUGAUGAAGGCCUUAGGGUUGUAAAACUCUUUCGGCGGGACGAUAAUGACGGUACCCGCAGAAGAAGCUCCGGCUAACUUCGUGCCAGCA
Molecule: ribosomal RNA, 435 nt
Filed under: uncultured bacterium
Lineage: Bacteria
Description: bacterial SSU rRNA
Rfam family: Bacterial small subunit ribosomal RNA
Source: RNAcentral